RNAcentral lists this ribosomal RNA (554 nucleotides) under Escherichia coli. RNAcentral's name for it is "bacterial SSU rRNA". It matches the Rfam family "Bacterial small subunit ribosomal RNA", at positions 360 to 927 of the family's 1533-position model. Lineage: Bacteria; Pseudomonadati; Pseudomonadota; Gammaproteobacteria; Enterobacterales; Enterobacteriaceae. The record is from RNAcentral.
AAUUUUCCGCAAUGGGCGAAAGCCUGACGGAGCAAUACCGCGUGAGGGAGGAAGGCUCUUGGGUUGUAAACCUCUUUUCUCAGGGAAUAAGCAAGUGAAGGUACCUGAGGAAUCAGCAUCGGCUAACUCCGUGCCAGCAGCCGCGGUAAUACGGAGGAUGCAAGCGUUAUCCGGAAUGAUUGGGCGUAAAGCGUCCGUAGGUAGCAGUGUGUGUCUAUUGUUAAAGAGUUUGGCUUAACCAAAUAAAGGCGGUAGAAACUACACAGCUAGAGUGCGUUCGGGGCAGAGGGAAUUCCUGGUGUAGCGGUGAAAUGCGUAGAGAUCAGGAAGAACACCGGUGGCGAAAGCGCUCUGCUAGGCCGCAACUGACACUGAGGGACGAAAGCUAGGGGAGCGAAUGGGAUUAGAUACCCCAGUAGUCCUAGCCGUAAACGAUGGAUACUAGGCGUUGAGAGUAUCGACCCUCUCAGUGCCGUAGCUAACGCGUUAAGUAUCCCGCCUGGGGAGUACGCACGCAAGUGUGAAACUCAAAGGAAUUGACGGGGGCCCGCACA